Molecule: ribosomal RNA, 464 nt
Filed under: uncultured bacterium
Lineage: Bacteria
Description: partial 16S ribosomal RNA
Rfam family: Bacterial small subunit ribosomal RNA
Source: RNAcentral
GACGAACGCUGGCGGCGUGCUUAACACAUGCAAGUCGAACGGAAAGGCCCUGCUUGCAGGGUACUCGAGUGGCGAACGGGUGAGUAACACGUGGGUGAUCUGCCCUGCACUUCGGGAUAAGCCUGGGAAACUGGGUCUAAUACCGGAUAGGAGACAUUUUUAGUGUGAUGGUUGGAAAGUUUUUUCGGUGUAGGAUGAGCUCGCGGCCUAUCAGCUUGUUGGUGGGGUAAUGGCCUACCAAGGCGGCGACGGGUAGCCGGCCUGAGAGGGUGGACGGCCACAUUGGGACUGAGAUACGGCCCAGACUCCUACGGGAGGCAGCAGUGGGGAAUAUUGCACAAUGGGCGCAAGCCUGAUGCAGCGACGCCGCGUGGGGGAUGACGGCCUUCUGGUUGUAAACUCCUUUCGCUAGGGACGAAGCUUUUGUGACGGUACCUAGAUAAGAAGCACCGGCUAACUACGUG